Molecule: ribosomal RNA, 484 nt
Filed under: uncultured bacterium
Lineage: Bacteria
Description: bacterial SSU rRNA
Rfam family: Bacterial small subunit ribosomal RNA
Source: RNAcentral
GAUGAACGCUAGCGGCAGGCUUAAUACAUGCAAGUCGAGGGGCAUCAAGGUACACGAAAGUGUAUUGUUGGCGACCGGCGGACGGGUGAGUAAUAGGUAGGUAACCUACCUCAUACUGAGGCAUAGCUGGGAGAAAUUCCAGGUAAUUCCUCAUGAGGUUAUAUGACACAUGUGAUAUAAUCAAAGGUAUCGCAAGGUACUGGUAUGAGAUGGGCUUACUGACCAUUAGCUAGUUGGUGAGAUAAGAGCUCACCAAGGCGAAGAUGGUUAGGGGUUUGAGAGAGAGAUCCCCCACAUUGGAACUGAGAUACGGUCCAGACUCCUACGGGAGGCAGCAGUAGGGAAUAUUGGGCAAUGGGCGGAAGCCUGACCCAGCCAUGCCGCGUGAAGGAGACGGCCUUAUGGGUUGUAAACUUCUUUACUAUGCGACUAACUAGAUUUACGAGAUAAUUCUAUAGAAUGUAGCAUAGACAAAAGCACCGGA